Molecule: long non-coding RNA, 2322 nt
Organism: Bubalus bubalis (water buffalo)
Lineage: Eukaryota; Metazoa; Chordata; Mammalia; Artiodactyla; Bovidae
Exons: 4
Source: RefSeq, a predicted model, not a curated record
CGCCUGCCAAUAUAGGGGACAUAGGUUCAAGCCCUGCUUCAGGUAGAUUCUACAUGCCACGGAGCAGCUAAGCUAGCGUCACAGCUAGAGAAGGGACUGCGCUCACCACAGCUAGAGAAAGCCCACAUAACAAUGAAGACCCAGAGCACAGCCAAAAAUUAAUUGCUUUUAAAAUAAUAAUAAUAAUGUGACUUCCAAGACAAGGCCAUAAAAGGCACGUGGCUGCCGUGUUACGCCCUUUUGGCUCGCUUGCUGUUGGGGAGGCCAGCCGCCAUGUUGUGGGCACUCAAGCAGCCCCACGGCACAGCCCUUGAGGUGCGGAGCUGAGGCCGCCUGCCUCCAGCCUUGUGAAUGAACCCUUGGAGCAGGUCCUCCAAACCCCGGCUGACUCCUUGACUGCAGCCUCCUGAGAGACCCUGAGACAGAACCACCCAGCUGAGUCACUCCCUGAUUCCUGACCCACAGAAACAGUGUGAGAUAAAUAUCUGUUCUUUUAAGCAGAUCUACGAAUUUUCCGUUUUCUGCCGUGUAGCAAAUUAUCACAAACCUAGUAGCUUAAUAAAUUUAUUAUCUCACAGUUUUCCUAGGUCAGAAGUUUGGCGCAAGUUUUCUGCUCAAGGGUCUCGUUGGGCCAAAAUCGGGGUCAGCCGGGGUCCCAGUUCCCAUCUGGAGACUCUGGAGACUCUAGGGGAAAAAUCUCCUUCCAGGCUCCUUCUUGAUUUUGGCAAAAUUCAGUUCCUGUGCUUGUAGGUCUGAGGUCCCCGUUUCCUCGCCAAGUAUCAGCCGAGGGCUGCUCUCAACUCUAGAGGUGACCCACAUUUCAUCCACACACAGCCCCUCCCCCUCCACUCCAGCGACAGCCCAUCACAUCUUUCCUGUGCUUCAAAUCUCUGACUUCCUCUUCUGGCACCAGCCGGAGAAAACACUCCGCUUUUGAAGGGUUCAGGGGAUUAAGUUGGAUCCACUGGAUAACCUCCCUUUUGUAAAACCAACCUUAUAUCCUAACCUAAUCACAGGAGCAGAAUCCAUUAUAAACAUGUCCUGGGGAUGAGAUGGGGUGGUGGGAAAGGACAGGGGCUCUCUUAGAAUUCUUCCCUCCGUAGCACCAAGAUUUGUACACAGAAAACUAACGCAGCCAUUGAGAAGCUUUUCCCAUAUGGAAGCUCACGUCCUUCAGAUUUAGAACAUUUUUUUCCUUCCAUUUUCCCUGUUCUCUAACGUUGCAUCUUGAGGGACGAUUCUCUAGUUUCUUGAUCUUUUUAUGUCGGAUUUCGCUGUGUCUUUCUGGGAGGUUUUCCAGUCGCUUGCAAGGCUAAUAGUGAAAGUUUUUCUUUCUGCCCUCACCUCUCUAGUUCUUUCUUGGUCACUGAAUGUUCCUUUAUGCAGCGUCUCAUUCUCUUAGAGAUACAACGUCUCUUAUUUCUCUUAGGGUUUUUGUUUUGUGUUUUGUGUUUUUUUGUUUUGUGUUUGUCUUGUGUUUUCCUCCUCCCCGAGUUGGCCCUGUUUUCCAGGAGCUCUUUUCCUCUGCUGUUGUUGACCUCUGAUUUUCCUUGUACAAGCCUGCCUCCAGUGUCCAGUGAUCCUCGUCUGUGAGUUCACACUGAAGAUCAGGAGACUGAAAACAGACCAUCAGAAGCUUGCUGACUAUGGACAGGGCGUGUGGACAGCCUGCCCAGGGGCCUGGGCCUCCCCCGAACAAGAGCGACUUCCCGUCUCUGCACCGCAGCUUUCCCGUCUGCAAAGAAGGAGCCAAACCUCAGUGGGCCCUUGAGAGCAUCCGGUGAGCUGUGCCUCACAAGGACAACAUGGGUCGCCUUGCUGGCUCCAGCUGUCCCUCAGCUCCCUCACUGCACGAAGAAGUUACGAACCACCAUGAAUCAGGAGGUGUGAAAGUGUCUGCAUUCCAGCUUUCCUUGAGGGCAGAUGUCAGCUGGAGAGGGGAGUACCCUGGGCCCCAGAUCCCGGCAAAAUGAGUCUUGCUUCUUUCAGCCGGGGAGUUGUUCGGCCUCUUCUUAGGAUGAGUGAGUGGUUCCAUUUCACUCACUCACCCUUUGUUCCAAGCAAACCUGACCCCUGACCCUUGUUGCUCUUCAAACUCUGAUUACCCAAGACUCUCUGGGGUUGCCAGUGACAGAAGCAUAACUCAGACAAGCAUAAGCAGAAAAGGAACCUUGUGGCGUGUGUCACAGGGACAGUUAUACAGAUUCACUGGAAGGACUGAAGCUCCAAUACUUUGGCCACCGGUUGUGAAGAGCUGACUCAUUGGAAAAGACCCUGAUGCUGGGAAAGAUUGAGGGCAGAGGAUAAAGGGGUAACAGAGGA